GCCGCGGUAGCUCAAUGGCAGAGCGCCUGCUUCGUAAGCAGGAGGUUGUGGGUUCGAAACCCACCCGAGGCU
Candidatus Parvarchaeum acidophilus ARMAN-5 is the source of this 72-nucleotide non-coding RNA. The record is from Rfam. Lineage: Archaea; Nanobdellati; Candidatus Parvarchaeota.